AAAAAGCUUUAAGCCCAUAGUUAGGGCCUUCAUAGCAGAAGAUUUCAAAUAUCCAUGGGGCAUUGCAUUUUAUUCUUGUUGUCAGUCUUAACUGAUUUUUAAAUGAUGUUUUAGUGAUGAGCUGCUUAGAUCUGGAUUUAUAGUUUGAUUUUAUUAAUACUAUUGUUAAAUCAUUUUAUUUUAGCUGUCAUCAGUCAUGGUUGUUUUAUGAAGUUGUGCUUUGAAUCCAAAUAUGGUCAUAACUUCCUUACCCUGUAGGGGUCUUUCUUAUAUGAUCACAUCACAGAAGCAUUCAUUGUGACCAUUCUCUGACAUAGAGACAGGUUUGCCUAUAAAUAGGGCAGGACCACCACUUGAAGUCUCAGGCUCCCCAAGGCAGAUGAUGCUCCCACUGCUACAAGCUUGAAAAAGAAAAGCAACAUCAAAUGGCAAGUUUCAAACGCAGCAGAAGCUGGAGCCUGACUCGUCAACGCCGUAGGCGGCGACGGAAGAGCCAAGCAAGUGGAUCUGGAAGGAGGCGGAGAAGACGACACCAUGGCAGGAGAAAAGGCCGUAAGUCUCGUGGCCGGAGAAGACGGCGAAGGAGACAUCAUUAACCUCUUCCAUCUCCAUGGUGUUCUGUGCCCUUGAUUUCAAAUGCCAUCAGCCUAACAGAAGCUUUGCUUAAUAAAAGAAAUGGAACAACUUUGAGAACAUCUAACACAACUUCCUGAGAUUCAAGGAGCCUGCAACCAUUUGAACAAUGUCACCUGUCAAUAAAAUGCUGAAAUUUCA
Non-coding RNA from Pogona vitticeps (central bearded dragon), 774 nucleotides. NCBI's taxonomy places the organism in Eukaryota, Metazoa, Chordata, Lepidosauria, Squamata, Agamidae. The record is from RefSeq and is a predicted model, not a curated record.